RNAcentral lists this transfer RNA (68 nucleotides) under Meranoplus bicolor. RNAcentral describes it as "tRNA-Arg". Lineage: Eukaryota; Metazoa; Arthropoda; Insecta; Hymenoptera; Formicidae. The record is from RNAcentral.
UUUCUUAAAGUAAACAAUUACAUUUUAAUUUCGACUUAAAUUUCUGGUUAAUUAUAAACCUAAGAAAA